This 69-nucleotide transfer RNA is filed under the name Rattus norvegicus (Norway rat). It matches the Rfam family "tRNA". From Rfam's summary of the family: Transfer RNA (tRNA) molecules are approximately 80 nucleotides in length. The record is from Rfam by way of RNAcentral. Lineage: Eukaryota; Metazoa; Chordata; Mammalia; Rodentia; Muridae.
GGGGAUUUAGCUCAGUGGUAGAGCGCUUGCCUAGGAAGCGCAAGGCCCUGGGUUCGGUCCCAAGCUCCA